RNAcentral lists this ribosomal RNA (495 nucleotides) under uncultured bacterium. RNAcentral describes it as "partial 16S ribosomal RNA". It matches the Rfam family "Bacterial small subunit ribosomal RNA", at positions 28 to 507 of the family's 1533-position model. The record is from RNAcentral.
GACGAACGCUGGCGGCGUGCCUAAUACAUGCAAGUAGAACGCUGAAGGAGGAGCUUGCUUCUCUGGAUGAGUUGCGAACGGGUGAGUAACGCGUAGGUAACCUGCCUGGUAGCGGGGGAUAACUAUUGGAAACGAUAGCUAAUACCGCAUAAUAGUAGAUGUUGCAUGACAUUUGCUUAAAAGGUGCAAUUGCAUCACUACCAGAUGGACCUGCGUUGUAUUAGCUAGUUGGUGAGGUAACGGUUCACCAAGGCAACGAUACAUAGCCGACCUGAGAGGGUGAUCGGCCACACUGGGACUGAGACACGGCCCAGACUCCUACGGGAGGCAGCAGUAGGGAAUCUUCGGCAAUGGACGGAAGUCUGACCGAGCAACGCCGCGUGAGUGAAGAAGGUUGUCGGAUCGUAAAGCUCUGUUGUAAGAGAAGAACGAGUGUGAGAGUGGAAAGUUCACACUGUGACGGUAUCUGACCAGAAAGGGACGGCUAACUACGUG